This 871-nucleotide long non-coding RNA is filed under the name Mus spretus (western wild mouse). Its description in RNAcentral is "predicted gene 16152 (ENSMSPG00010029817.1)". Lineage: Eukaryota; Metazoa; Chordata; Mammalia; Rodentia; Muridae. The record is from RNAcentral.
AGAAGAUGUGGUAAAGAGACAUCCUGGCUGUUGCUCUCCAGAGUCUUUGCCAUCCUAAAGGAGGGGUGCUCUGUGGUGGCCUGGCCUCCUGUGAACUAUGGGUUUCCUGCUAGACCGGAGGAGGAAGUCAACCCCAAGGGAAGCCAUGCCACAGUGAUUCCUGAAAUGGGACCAAUCCCGGUCGGUGACCAGCCCUGAAGGUGAGACACCUGCAGAAGCUGAGGAGUGUGGCACACCUGCUGGCCCUUCCUGAUAGAGCCACAUGGGACUCAGCCUGGAGCAGCCUCUGGCUACAGCAUCCUUUCAAUGUAAGACCUGCUAAGCCCCAGGAUCCCCAGAUGCUCAGUGUACACAUCCUUCAUGACUCUCACUGGCAAAAGAUAUGGAAAGAGACAGUCACUGAUGGAUGGAAAGGAACUGUGUGAGUGUAAACACAUAACGGGAAGUCCUGCGCCUCUCUUAAUUGCCCGACACAAUUCCCACUACGUGCAUAAACUGCAGUUCCCAUUAACAGCACCAUGAAUAAUAAUCAGUUUACUUUCUGACUCGUAUCUAAAUAUACCUUCUAUAUGAUUUCAUCUUUUAUGCAGCUGUUUAGAAGCAGAACAUCUAAUUACAGUUCCUAUUAGUCAACAUUAAUUUUUUUCCCUUUUGCCACGGAGCAUAUGUAAUGACUGAUUUUCUAAAAACAGAAUUUUUUUAGCAUAUGGAACAAAUUGUGUUAUUAUUAAUGCAUUCCCAGAUGACUCUGCAUUUCAAUUCCCUUAAUUAUUUAGUCAUUGCUGAUUAUGUCUUUUUAACAUUCAUUAUCCCAUCUCUCGAAACACAGGCGGUUUAUUCAUUAAGUGUCAAAAUGGAAAGCUUGACCUCC